RNAcentral lists this ribosomal RNA (305 nucleotides) under uncultured bacterium. RNAcentral describes it as "partial 16S ribosomal RNA". It matches the Rfam family "Bacterial small subunit ribosomal RNA", at positions 505 to 807 of the family's 1533-position model. The record is from RNAcentral.
ACAGCAGUCGCCACGGUAAGACAGAGGAUGCAAGCGUUAUCCGGAAUGAUUGGGCGUAAAGCGUCUGUAGGUGGCUUUUCAAGUCCGCCGUCAAAUCCCAGGGCUCAACCCUGGACAGGCGGUGGAAACUACCAAGCUGGAGUACGGUAGGGGCAGGGGGAGUUUCCGGUGGAGCGGUGAAAUGCGCUGAGAUCGGAAAGAACACCAACGGCGAAAGCACUCUGCUGGGCCGACACUGACACUGAGAGACGAAAGCUAGGGGAGCAAAUGGGAUUAGAUACCCCGGUAGUCCCUGUCUCUUAUAC